GAUGAACGCUAGCGGCAGGCUUAAUACAUGCAAGUCGAGGGGCAUCAAGGUACACGAAAGUGUAUUGUUGGCGACCGGCGGACGGGUGAGUAAUAGGUAGGUAACCUACCUCAUACUGAGGCAUAGCUGGGAGAAAUUCCAGGUAAUUCCUCAUGAGGUUAUAUGACACAUGUGAUAUAAUCAAAGGUAUCGCAAGGUACUGGUAUGAGAUGGGCUUACUGACCAUUAGCUAGUUGGUGAGAUAAGAGCUCACCAAGGCGAAGAUGGUUAGGGGUUUUGAGAGAGAGAUCCCCCAAUUGGAACUGAGAUACGGUCCAGACUCCUACGGGAGGCAGCAGCAGGGAAUAUUGGGCAAUGGGCGGAAGCCUGACCCAGCCAUGCCGCGUGAAGGAAGACGGCCUUAUGGGUUGUAAACUUCUUUACUAUGCGACUAACUAGAUUUACGAGAUAAUUCUAUAGAAUGUAGCAUAGACAAAAAGCACC
This 483-nucleotide ribosomal RNA is filed under the name uncultured bacterium. RNAcentral's name for it is "bacterial SSU rRNA". It matches the Rfam family "Bacterial small subunit ribosomal RNA", at positions 28 to 494 of the family's 1533-position model. The record is from RNAcentral.